RNAcentral lists this ribosomal RNA (422 nucleotides) under uncultured bacterium. RNAcentral's name for it is "partial 16S ribosomal RNA". It matches the Rfam family "Bacterial small subunit ribosomal RNA", at positions 360 to 774 of the family's 1533-position model. The record is from RNAcentral.
AAUUAUGGACAAUGGGGGAAACCCUGAUUCAGCCAUCCCGCGUGUGCGAAGAAGGCCUUCGGGUAGUUAAGCACUUAUGGCCGGGAAGAAUAGGUUCGGGCCAAUAAUCGGAACUGCUGACGGUACCUGCAGAAUAAGCAGCGGCUAUCUACGUGCUAGCAGCCGUGGUAAUACGUAGGGUGCAAGCGUUAAUCGGAAUUACUGGGCGGAAAGCGGGCGGUGGCGGUUUUGCAAGAAGGAUGUGAAAUCCCGGGGCUUAACCUCGGAACUGAAUUAUCAACGGCCAGGCUAGAGUAUGUCAGAGGGGGGUAGAAUUCCACGUGUAGCAGUGAAAUGCGUAGAGAUGUGGAGGAAGACCGAUGGCGAAGGCAGCCCCCUGGGAUAAUACUGACGCUCAUGCACGAAAGCGUGGGGAGCAAACA